Molecule: transfer RNA, 72 nt
Filed under: Camelus bactrianus (Bactrian camel)
Lineage: Eukaryota; Metazoa; Chordata; Mammalia; Artiodactyla; Camelidae
Also listed under: 3 other names
Rfam family: tRNA
About the family: Transfer RNA (tRNA) molecules are approximately 80 nucleotides in length. Their secondary structure includes four short double-helical elements and three loops (D, anti-codon, and T loops).
Source: Rfam by way of RNAcentral
GAGGGUAUAGCUCAGUGGUAGAGUGGAUGCCUAGCAUGCAUAAGGUCCUGGGUUCAAUCCCUAGUCCCUCCA